UUCCCCCCUCAGCGCGCCCUCUGGGAGCGCUGGCGUUGGGGCUCCUCCGCCCUCUGUGGCGGCAGGGCCCUCAAAUCCAGUGGCGGGCCCGUCUGGCUGGCUCCGAGCGCAGUACCGAACGCAAGUUCUCUUUCUCGCUUCGUAGCCCCGGCCGGUGCCCAGCCGUCAAGCCGCGCAGGCGACCCUUUUCGGGCCGCCUCGCACUUUUUUAC
Molecule: unclassified non-coding RNA, 212 nt
Filed under: Ophiostoma minus
Lineage: Eukaryota; Fungi; Ascomycota; Sordariomycetes; Ophiostomatales; Ophiostomataceae
Description: internal trancribed spacer 2
Source: RNAcentral